GACGAACGCUGGCGGCGUGCUUAACACAUGCAAGUCGAACGGAAAGGCCCUGCUUUUGUGGGGUGCUCGAGUGGCGAACGGGUGAGUAACACGUGAGUAACCUGCCCUUGACUUUGGGAUAACUUCAGGAAACUGGGGCUAAUACCGGAUAGGAGCUCCUGCUGCAUGGUGGGGGUUGGAAAGUUUCGGCGGUUGGGGAUGGACUCGCGGCUUAUCAGCUUGCUGGUGGGGUAGUGGCUUACCAAGGCUUUGACGGGUAGCCGGCCUGGGAGGGUGACCGGCCACAUUGGGACUGAGGUACGGCCCAGACUCCUACGGGAGGCAGCAGUGGGGAAUAUUGCACAAUGGGCGGAAGCCUGAUGCAGCAGCGCCGCGUGCGGGAUGACGGCCUUCGGGUUGUAAACCGCUUUCGCCUGUGACGAAGCGUGAGUGACGGUAAUGGGUAAAGAAGCACCGGCUAACUACGUG
Molecule: ribosomal RNA, 468 nt
Filed under: uncultured bacterium
Lineage: Bacteria
Description: partial 16S ribosomal RNA
Rfam family: Bacterial small subunit ribosomal RNA
Source: RNAcentral